CCUACGGGGGGCUGCAGUGAGGAAUAUUGGUCAAUGGACGAGAGUCUGAACCAGCCAAGUAGCGUGAAGGAUGACUGCCCUAUGGGUUGUAAACUUCUUUUAUAUGGGAAUAAAACGUUCCACGUGUGGGAUUUUGUAUGUACCAUAUGAAUAAGGAUCGGCUAACUCCGUGCCAGCAGCCGCGGUAAUACGGAGGAUCCGAGCGUUAUCCGGAUUUAUUGGGUUUAAAGGGAGCGUAGGUGGAUUGUUAAGUCAGUUGUGAAAGUUUGCGGCUCAACCGUAAAAGUGCAGUUGAAACUGGCAGUCUUGAGUACAGUAGAGGUGAGCGGAAUUCGUGGUGUAGCGGUGAAAUGCUUAGAUAUCACGAAGAACUCCGAUUGCGAAGGCAGUUCACUGGACUGCAACUGACACUGAGGCUCGAAAGUGUGGGUAUCAAACAGGAUUAGAUACCCGAGUAGUC
Molecule: ribosomal RNA, 460 nt
Filed under: uncultured bacterium
Lineage: Bacteria
Description: partial 16S ribosomal RNA
Rfam family: Bacterial small subunit ribosomal RNA
Source: RNAcentral